This 166-nucleotide ribosomal RNA is filed under the name Arxiozyma pintolopesii. RNAcentral describes it as "Kazachstania pintolopesii partial 18S ribosomal RNA". It matches the Rfam family "Eukaryotic small subunit ribosomal RNA", at positions 1667 to 1831 of the family's 1831-position model. Lineage: Eukaryota; Fungi; Ascomycota; Saccharomycetes; Saccharomycetales; Saccharomycetaceae. The record is from RNAcentral.
CACCGCCCGUCGCUAGUACCGAUUGAAUGGCUUAGUGAGGCUCAGGAUCAGCUUAGAGAAGGGGGCGACUCCAUCUCAGAGCGGAGAAUUUGGUCAAACUUGGUCAUUUAGAGGAACUAAAAGUCGUAACAAGGUUUCCGUAGGUGAACCUGCGGAAGGAUCAUUA